GCAAACUUGGUCAUUUAGAGGAAGUAAAAGUCGUAACAAGGUCUCCGUUGGUGAACCAGCGGAGGGAUCAUUAAAGAGUUCUGUAACUCCCAAACCAUUGUGAACAUACCCUACGUUGCCUCGGCAGGUCGCGCCUACCUCGUGACUACCCUGUAGUAACCUACCCUGUAGAUCAUACCUGGUAGACGCGGGUAAGCCUGUCGGUGGCCCAUUACAACCCUGUUUAGCAUUGCGUCUUCUGAGCAUACGAAAUGAAUUAAAACUUUCAACAACGGAUCUCUUGGUUCUGGCAUCGAUGAAGAACGCAGC
Molecule: unclassified non-coding RNA, 309 nt
Filed under: uncultured fungus
Lineage: Eukaryota; Fungi
Description: partial contains small subunit ribosomal RNA, internal transcribed spacer 1, and 5.8S ribosomal RNA
Rfam family: Eukaryotic small subunit ribosomal RNA (bases 1-73)
Source: RNAcentral